This 774-nucleotide ribosomal RNA is filed under the name Shigella sonnei. Its description in RNAcentral is "partial 23S ribosomal RNA". It matches the Rfam family "Bacterial large subunit ribosomal RNA", at positions 52 to 785 of the family's 2925-position model. The record is from RNAcentral. Lineage: Bacteria; Pseudomonadati; Pseudomonadota; Gammaproteobacteria; Enterobacterales; Enterobacteriaceae.
AAGGACGCGGUAAUCUGCGAUAAGCCUCGGGGAGCUGAUAAACGAGCUGUGAUCCGAGGGUCUCCGAAUGGGGAAACCCCGCCGCGUGUUAUGCGUGGUGACCCGCACCUGAAUUCAUAGGGUGUGUGGAGGGAACGUGGGGAAGUGAAACAUCUCAGUACCCACAGGAAGAGAAAACAACAGUGAUUCCGUCAGUAGUGGCGAGCGAACGCGGAAGAGGCCAAACCGAUGGUGUGUGAUACCCGGCAGGGGUUGCAUCAUCGGGGUCGUGGGGCGUGUCGUCCCGGGUCUGCCGGCCCGGGCGUGUGAGUGCAGGGCGAUAGUCGAACCGGUGUGAGUGCCGGACCGGAGAGGGUGAGAGUCCCGUAGACGAAAUCGUUGCUGCCGCACGGUACGCGUACCCAAGUAGCACGGGGCCCGAGAAAUCCCGUGUGAAUCUGCCAGGACCACCUGGUAAGCCUAAAUACUACCUGAUGACCGAUAGCGGACCAGUACCGUGAGGGAAAGGUGAAAAGUACCCCGGGAGGGGAGUGAAAUAGUACCUGAAACCGUGUGCCUACAAACCGUCGGAGCCCUACAAGGUGACGGCGUGCCUUUUGAAGAAUGAGCCUGCGAGUUAGUGUUACGUCGCGAGGUUAACCCGUGAGGGGUAUCCGUAGCGAAAGCGAGUCUGAACAGGGCGAGUGAGUGGCGUGAUCUAGACCCGAAGCGAAGUGAUCUACCCAUGGCCAGGUUGAAGCGCGUGUAAGAGCGCGUGGAGGACCGAACCCACUU